Molecule: ribosomal RNA, 459 nt
Filed under: uncultured bacterium
Lineage: Bacteria
Description: partial 16S ribosomal RNA
Rfam family: Bacterial small subunit ribosomal RNA
Source: RNAcentral
CCUACGGGAGGCAGCAGUGAGGAAUAUUGGUCAAUGGGCGGAAGCCUGAACCAGCCAAGCAGCGUGCGGGACGAAGGUCCCAAGGGUCGUAAACUGCUUUUGCACGGGGAUAACAUCCUCCACUUGUGGAGGUCUGAAGGUACCGUGCGAAUAAGCGUCGGCUAAUUCCGUGCCAGCAGCCGCGGUAAUACGGAGGAUGCGAGCGUUAUCCGGAUUUAUUGGGUUUAAAGGGUGCGUAGGCGGAAGAUCAAGUCAGCGGUAAAAUUGAGGGGCUCAACCCCUUCGAGCCGUUGAAACUGGUUGUCUUGAGAGGGUGAGAGGUAUGCGGAAUGCGUAGUGUAGCGGUGAAAUGCUUAGAUAUCGCGCAGAACUCCGAUUGCGAAGGCAGCAUACCGGCGCUCAACUGACGCUCAUGCACGAAAGUGUGGGUAUCGAACAGGAUUAGAUACCCUUGUAGUC